Molecule: long non-coding RNA, 962 nt
Organism: Grus americana (Whooping crane)
Lineage: Eukaryota; Metazoa; Chordata; Aves; Gruiformes; Gruidae
Exons: 3
Source: RefSeq, a predicted model, not a curated record
CCCUCCACGCGGGGCAGGUCCCUCCGAAGCUCACUUUGUCCAGGCAGGGCUGAGCCGUGCCCCGGCGCGCAGCUGGCGUACGAGGGGCGCGGGGAAGCGGGAGGGAGCUGUGUUCCUUCCUCCCUCCUUCCGUGGGAUGCUUAUUUGAACGCGGCUCGCCCUAGAGCACUGACAGCCUCUUCAUUCUAAGGAAUCCGCUUUACUUUCGGCUCUAAGGGAAGCAGGCGACAAGAGACUGUGCUAAACACUCGGAAAGCACUCAGGCACCAGCUUUAUGCAAGUGGCAGAAAUCCGUACUGUUAGCGCUGCAAGUGCUUAAAACAAUUCUGAUGGCCCACCUGGGACAUACUAGCAGUUUACACGAGUGACAAUUGCAAUGUGAAGACAAUAUCCAGAUGAAACGUACAGAGACAGAAACACAACCAUAUGCAUUGCCAGGAAAAUGGUUUAAAAAAAUAACAAUAAAAAUUCAGUGAAGCAAUAGAGGGACUGGCUGAUUAUUUUGCUCUUCAGUAGCCAGCAUCCACCCUUAGCCCGAGUCCCUGAUUUUCCAGGAGGAGCAAGAGUCUCGGUGUUACUUCUUUUUCAUCAGCUGCUUAAAAUUUAAGGCUCAGUCAAGCAAACAGCAAUGCAGAAGCAAUCUGGAGGGGCUCGGUGGAUUCAAGAAAACCGUCAAAUGGAAAAUCCUGCCUCGCAGCCCUCAGCUGCCCAUGCUAAUUGCUUUUGCAGUGCUUUGAGAGAAUCCUAGAGGCAGCAAGUGCAAUUAAGAGCCUGCCAAGGAAGGAGCAGGCAGCUGGAUUGUCCUGCCCAGCCCCUGCCCUCCCCGCCUGCCACAGGGGCACGGGGCAGCUGCUCCCGCCUGAGACACCAGGACCUUUCAGGAGGCUUCGUGCAGUACCUGAAUGUCACCAACAACCCACCAUUAAAUGAGAUUGAAGUGUUUUCCAGCAAUUGAGUCACGA